UGAAAGUCUCAGGGGAAUCGACGCGAU
This 27-nucleotide small RNA is filed under the name Bombyx mori (domestic silkworm). RNAcentral's name for it is "ovarian small RNA-30507". Lineage: Eukaryota; Metazoa; Arthropoda; Insecta; Lepidoptera; Bombycidae. The record is from RNAcentral.